Molecule: ribosomal RNA, 134 nt
Filed under: uncultured eukaryote
Lineage: Eukaryota
Description: partial 18S ribosomal RNA
Rfam family: Eukaryotic small subunit ribosomal RNA
Source: RNAcentral
UGGUGGAGUGAUUUGUCUGGUUAAUUCCGAUAACGAACGAGACCUCAGCCUGCUAACUAGUUGCUGCUUCUCCAAGCAGUGGACUUCUUAGAGGGACUUCAGGGGCUACUCUGAGGAAGUUUGAGGCAAUAACA